AACCUAGCACACCUGCGGUGUGUACCUGCGGAAGGAUCAUUACCGAGUUUACAACUCCCAAACCCCUGUGAACAUACCUAUACGUUGCCUCGGCGGAUCAGCCCGCGCCCCGUAAAAAGGGACGGCCCGCCCGAGGACCCCUAAACUCUGUUUUUAGUGGAACUUCUGAGUAAAACAAACAAAUAAAUCAAAACUUUUAGCAACGGAUCU
This 210-nucleotide unclassified non-coding RNA is filed under the name soil metagenome. RNAcentral's name for it is "partial contains 5.8S ribosomal RNA, internal transcribed spacer 2, and large subunit ribosomal RNA". The record is from RNAcentral.